This 508-nucleotide ribosomal RNA is filed under the name uncultured bacterium. RNAcentral describes it as "partial 16S ribosomal RNA". It matches the Rfam family "Bacterial small subunit ribosomal RNA", at positions 28 to 507 of the family's 1533-position model. The record is from RNAcentral.
GACGAACGCUGGCGGCGUGCCUAAUACAUGCAAGUCGAACGCUUCUUUCCUCCCGAGUGCUUGCACUCAAUUGGAAAGAGGAGUGGCGGACGGGUGAGUAACACGUGGGUAACCUACCCAUCAGAGGGGGAUAACACUUGGAAACAGGUGCUAAUACCGCAUAACAGUUUAUGCCGCAUGGCAUAAGAGUGAAAGGCGCUUUCGGGUGUCGCUGAUGGAUGGACCCGCGGUGCAUUAGCUAGUUGGUGAGGUAACGGCUCACCAAGGCCACGAUGCAUAGCCGACCUGAGAGGGUGAUCGGCCACACUGGGACUGAGACACGGCCCAGACUCCUACGGGAGGCAGCAGUAGGGAAUCUUCGGCGAUGGACAAAAGUCUGACCGAGCAACGCCGCGUGAGUGAAGAAGGUUUUCGGAUCGUAAAACUCUGUUGUUAGAGAAGAACAAGGACGUUAGUAACUGAACGUCCCCUGACGGUAUCUAACCAGAAAGCCACGGCUAACUACGUG